RNAcentral lists this ribosomal RNA (253 nucleotides) under uncultured bacterium. Its description in RNAcentral is "partial 16S ribosomal RNA". It matches the Rfam family "Bacterial small subunit ribosomal RNA", at positions 524 to 776 of the family's 1533-position model. The record is from RNAcentral.
UACGUAGGUGACCAGCGUUGUCCGGAUUUACUGGGCGUAAAGAGCGCGCAGGCGGUCGUUCAAGUCGAGUGUGAAAGCCCCCGGCUCAACUGGGGAGGGUCAUUCGAUACUGAUCGACUUGAAGGCAGGAGAGGGAAGCGGAAUUCCCGGUGUAGUGGUGAAAUGCGUAGAUAUCGGGAGGAACACCAGUGGCGAAGGCGGCCUGCUGGGCCACGACCGACACUGAGGUGCGAAAGCGUGGGGAGCGAACCGG